RNAcentral lists this unclassified non-coding RNA (208 nucleotides) under Hevea brasiliensis (rubber tree). Lineage: Eukaryota; Viridiplantae; Streptophyta; Magnoliopsida; Malpighiales; Euphorbiaceae. The record is from RNAcentral.
CCAGAGCUUCCAUCAUGCUUAGAAGAUUUGUCUUUACGGAAUUGCACAUCUCUGGAAUCUGCAUCAACUUCUUUCCUUUUCCCAGAACACGAAGACGAAGAUCGAAUUGAAAAUUUUCUUGACUUUAGUAAUUGCAUCAGUUUGGAUAAGGAGAAAGUGAUGGAGGAUGUAUUGGAAACGCAUUUGUUGAAACACAAGAUUGUUCGUU